Magnolia sinica is the source of this 629-nucleotide long non-coding RNA. RefSeq lists it as uncharacterized. NCBI's taxonomy places the organism in Eukaryota, Viridiplantae, Streptophyta, Magnoliopsida, Magnoliales, Magnoliaceae. The record is from RefSeq and is a predicted model, not a curated record. The transcript has 5 exons.
GUAGGUUAAGGUUAAGGUCUAGGUUAAGGUUAUAAGUUUUAGGAUUUGAGAAUAGGUUUAGGUUAAGGUUAUAAGUCUAGGUUUAGGUUAUAGGUUAAGGUUUAGGUUUAGGUUAUAAGUUAUAAGUAUAGGUUAUAGGUUAAGGUUAAGGUCUAAGUUUAGGUUAUAGGUUAAGGUUUUGGGAUUUGAGAAUAGGUUUAGGUUAAGGUUAUAAGUAUGGGUUAAGGUUUAGGUUUAUGCUAUAGGUAUAGGUUUAGGUUAUAGGUUAUAAGUAUAGGUUAUAGGUUAAGGUCUAGGUUAUAGGUUAAGGUUUUGGGAUUUGAGAAUAGGUUUAGGUUAAGGUUAUAAGUCUAGGUUUAGGCUAUAAGUUAAGGUUUAGGUUUAGGUUAUAGGUUAUAAGUAUAGGUUAUAGGUUAAGGUUAUGGUCUAGGUUUAGGUUAUAGGUUAAGGUUUUGGGAAUUGAGAAUAGGUUUAGGUUAAGGUUAUAAAUCUAGGUUUAGGUUAUAGGUUAAGGUUUAGGUUUAGGUUUAGGUUAUAUGUUAUAAGUAUAGGUUAUAGCUUAAGGUUUAGGCUAUAGGUUAAGGUUUUGGGAUUUGAGAAUAGGUUUAGGUUAAGGUUAUAAGUCUAGG